Molecule: ribosomal RNA, 468 nt
Filed under: uncultured Magnetococcaceae bacterium
Lineage: Bacteria; Pseudomonadati; Pseudomonadota; Magnetococcia; Magnetococcales; Magnetococcaceae
Description: bacterial SSU rRNA
Rfam family: Bacterial small subunit ribosomal RNA
Source: RNAcentral
AACGAACGCUGGCGGCACGCUUAACACAUGCAAGUCGAACGGUAACGGCUCUUCGGAGGCCGACGAGUGGCGGACGGGUGAGUAACGCGUAGCUACCUGCCCUCUGGCGGGGGACAACAGUUGGAAACGACUGCUAAUACCGCAUAUCUCCUACGGAGAAAGACCUUCGGUCGACCAGAGGAGGGGCGUGCGUUGGUAGUUAGUCUAGUUGGUAAGGUAACGGCGUUACCAAGGACGACGAUCCAUAGCUGGUCUGAGAGGAUGAUCAGCCACACUGGGACUGAGACACGGCCCACGACUCCUACGGGAGGCAGCAGUGGGGAAUAUUGCGCAAUGGGGCGAACCCUGACGCAGCGAUGCCGCGUGAGUGAAGAAGGCCUUCGGGUUGUAAAGCUCUUUUAGUAGGACGAUAGUGACGGUACCUACAGAAAGAGCUCCGGCUAACUCCGUGCCAGCAGCCGCGGUAAU